Molecule: long non-coding RNA, 943 nt
Organism: Lynx canadensis (Canada lynx)
Lineage: Eukaryota; Metazoa; Chordata; Mammalia; Carnivora; Felidae
Exons: 3
Source: RefSeq, a predicted model, not a curated record
AGAGUUAUUCCUAUUCUCUUUUGGAAGGGAACCUGAAGAAUCGAAUGCAAUUCUCCUUACUCUGUGUUCAUGGUGUCUGACUUGAUGCUGACCAGCAAAGUUUGCUCAGCUACUGUUAGACCAAUUUUUUGACAGAAGGAAGGAAACUGCAUAAUUGGAUUAAUUUCAAGGCAUCGUUUUUAGGAGGAUGCUCUAUUCAAUUUACAACCACAUCCUUUUCCAGAGAGUUCCAGUUGAAAAUUGAAGACCAUAAGACCAAUAAGAUUUGAAGACAGAGAAAGAAAAAAAAACAUUUAAGGUGGGAGCAGAUACUUUGAAGAAGGUGGCACCUGUCAAAUGUUCCAUGCCCAUGGAGAGCCCAAGCAAAAUCACAUUGUUACUGCCACAGACGCCUUCACGAAGGGACAAUGCAAGAGCCUGAGACAUGGAGUAUUUUUCUGUUAUGGUAUAUUUUAUGAUAAGUAUAGCAAAAUAAAUUUUGAUUAUAAGAUAAUUAAAGCAAUGACUAUCAUCCUCAUCAUCUUCCUUCUCAUCAGAUAUUAUUAGCUAAGAUUUAUUGAAUAUCUUCUACAUGGCACACUCACUCCCAGGCAAGUUAAAUUUUCUUUUUCUUUAUCCUCACAAUUAACCUAUGAAGUAAGAAUAAAUGGACUACCAUCGCCAUUAAACAGAUACUGGGGAGGAAAAGAGCUCUUACUUUAUCACAGGAAACAAAAUUCAAAACGUUUGCCGCUUAAGCCUGGCUUUUGUUCAGCUGAGGGGGCUGCCAUUGUUAGUUAAGUGUCUGUGGCUUCCUGUUCCUCUUAGACCUGAGGGGGUGAAAUUUGAAAUGUAUGGGAUGAUGGUCAGGUAUCUAUUCUUUUCUGAGAGGGCAGCCUUGCAAAUUGUAAAGGUAAAUAAGAAACUAUCUUCUUGUAAGUUGGGUUAAACUGUGUGUUAGUGU